Molecule: ribosomal RNA, 470 nt
Filed under: uncultured bacterium
Lineage: Bacteria
Description: bacterial SSU rRNA
Rfam family: Bacterial small subunit ribosomal RNA
Source: RNAcentral
GAUGAACGCUGGCGGCGUGCUUAACACAUGCAAGUCGAACGGACUUAGGAUGAAACCUAGUGAUUUCUAAGUUAGUGGCGGACGGGUGAGUAACGCGUGGGCAACCUGCCUAUCACUGGGGAAUAACGCACCGAAAGGUGUGCUAAUACCGCAUGAGACCACAGAGGGACAUCCCACAGGGGUCAAAGAUUCAUCGGUGAUAGAUGGGCUCGCGUCUGAUUAGCUAGUUGGUGAGGUAACGGCCCACCAAGGCGACGAUCAGUAGCCGACCUGAGAGGGUGAUCGGCCACAUUGGAACUGAGAAACGGUCCAAACUCCUACGGGAGGCAGCAGUGGGGAAUAUUGGGCAAUGGGCGCAAGCCUGACCCAGCAACGCCGCGUGAAGGAAGAAGGUUUUCGGAUUGUAAACUUCUGUCCUUGAUGAAAAGCAGUAGAUGGUAAUCAAGGAGGAAGCCCCGGCUAACUACGUG